This 251-nucleotide long non-coding RNA is filed under the name Capra hircus (goat). Its description in RNAcentral is "lncRNA (ENSCHIG00010022255.1)". Lineage: Eukaryota; Metazoa; Chordata; Mammalia; Artiodactyla; Bovidae. The record is from RNAcentral.
AGAAGCCCCUCGCUGUCCCAUGUACCUCCCAUUCUGAGAGCAGGGAGGCACCGGCCCAGCUGCUCACGGUGAUGACUCAGCGACGUGGUGGUGGCUCCAGUGAUAUGACGGCGACGGCAGCAGAGGCGGUCCCAGGAAGGGACUGAGCUGGCCCAGCUCAGUCAGGGACUCAUUCCUCAGCUGAUCAACCAGAACAAGAGACAUAGGCCCUGUUCUGAGGACAUGGUAACUUGAAGUGCAGCCAUAUGGAG